UGAACGCUAGCGACAGGCUACACAUGCAAGUCGAGGGGCAGCAUAGAAGUAGCAAUACUUGGUGGCGACCGGCGCACGGGUGAGUAACGCGUAUGCAACCUACCUAUCGAGAGGGGAAUAACCCGGCGAAAGUCGGACUAAUACCGCAUAAAACAGGGGCACCGCAUGGUGAUAUUGUUAAGAAUUCGCUGAUAGAUGGGCAUGCGUUCCAUUAGGUAGUUGGUGAGGUAACGGCUCACCAAGCCGACGAUGGAUAGGGGAACUGAGAGGUUGGUCCCCCACACUGGUACUGAGACACGGACCAGACUCCUACGGGAGGCAGCAGUGAGGAAUAUUGGUCAAUGGGCGGGAGCCUGAACCAGCCAAGUCGCCGUGAAGGAAGAAGGAUCUAUGGUUCGUAAACUUCUUUUGCAGGGGAAUAAAGUGCAGGACGUGUCCUGUUUUGUAUGUACCCUGAGAAUAAGGAUCGGCUAACUCCGUGCCAGCCGCGGC
This 492-nucleotide ribosomal RNA is filed under the name uncultured bacterium. Its description in RNAcentral is "bacterial SSU rRNA". It matches the Rfam family "Bacterial small subunit ribosomal RNA", at positions 30 to 518 of the family's 1533-position model. The record is from RNAcentral.